UUAAAUUGAAGAGUUUGAUCAUGGCUCAGAUUGAACGCUGGCGGCAGGCCUAACACAUGCAAGUCGAACGGUAACAGGAAGCAGCUUGCUGCUUUGCUGACGAGUGGCGGACGGGUGAGUAAUGUCUGGGAAACUGCCUGAUGGAGGGGGAUAACUACUGGAAACGGUGGCUAAUACCGCAUAACGUCGCAAGACCAAAGAGGGGGACCUUCGGGCCUCUUGCCAUCAGAUGUGCCCAGAUGGGAUUAGCUUGUUGGUGAGGUAACGGCUCACCAAGGCGACGAUCCCUAGCUGGUCUGAGAGGAUGACCAGCCACACUGGAACUGAGACACGGCCCAGACUCCUACGGGAGGCAGCAGUGGGGAAUAUUGCACAAUGGGCGCAAGCCUGAUGCAGCCAUGCCGCGUGUAUGAAGAAGGCCUUCGGGUUGUAAAGUACUUUCAGCGGGGAGGAAGGUGUUGUGGUUAAUAACCGCAGCAAUUGACGUUACCCGCAGAAGAAGCACCGGCUAACUCCGUGCCAGCAGCCGCGGUAAUACGGAGGGUGCAAGC
RNAcentral lists this ribosomal RNA (551 nucleotides) under Salmonella enterica subsp. enterica serovar Enteritidis. RNAcentral describes it as "bacterial SSU rRNA". It matches the Rfam family "Bacterial small subunit ribosomal RNA", at positions 1 to 539 of the family's 1533-position model. Lineage: Bacteria; Pseudomonadati; Pseudomonadota; Gammaproteobacteria; Enterobacterales; Enterobacteriaceae. The record is from RNAcentral.